GCAUGAACAUAAUGAAUCAGUGGCAUAAACAUAACUCAGUAGCCUACACUAUAAACGGAAUAGAUAGCCUACUUAAGUGAUUUUCCAACCAUCUUUUAUUUAUUUUCCAUUUAAAAUAGGAAGGGAGUAGAAAGCCUAUCGUCUAAGCGAUGACAACCAUGAAAACCCCAGGACCAAGCAAGAGGUGGUGGUUCGCUCUCCGUGCCAGGGUUGCCACAUUUGGUGGAGAAUGCGGGCAACUCGACCGUGCUACGGACAAUCAUUGGGAGUGAUCGACGACGCAGCCAGAAACGAGGACACGAGAGACGAGGGCGCCAGAGAAGAGGCUGCGUGAGUCGAGGCUGCGUGAGUCGAGGCCGCCAGAGACGAGGCUGCGUGAGACGAGGCCGCCAGAGACGAGGCCGCGUGAGUCGAGGCCGCCAGAGUCGAGGCCGCCAGAGACGACGCCGCAAAACGAGCCACGCUGGCAGCAGAAGCCGCCACGCUACCCGCAGGACCGUCGCUCCUCCGAGAGGCCUCCCGAGGCUUCAUCAAAGGGUGGAGGAGUGGCGGUUCGCUCACCGUGCCGGGUUGCCACAAUACAUCCCACCACUUCGAUGCUUUAAAUGUCACAAAUUUGGGCAUUAAGCAGCAAUACGUAGAGGGAAAGCAAGAUGUGGCAAAUGUGAAGGGGAGGAUCAUGAAUACGAUAAAUGUAAGGGAGGUGCCCGGGUUAACUGGUGAUUUUUGAGGCGAGCAUAGGGCUACCUAUAAAGGGUGUUAGGCGCAUGAACGCGCAGCAGAGGUUCAAAUAAUUAAAGUGGAGGAAAAGGUAACAUAUGCUGAAGCAAUUAAACAAGUUAAUGCUUGAAAGGAUAUGGUGAAACAAGGAGUUGGACCUGGAAAAAUAGUUAAUGC
This 897-nucleotide long non-coding RNA is filed under the name Gadus morhua (Atlantic cod). RNAcentral's name for it is "lncRNA (ENSGMOG00000035562.1)". Lineage: Eukaryota; Metazoa; Chordata; Actinopteri; Gadiformes; Gadidae. The record is from RNAcentral.